CCAUGAAGUCGGAAUCGCUAGUAAUCGUGGAUCAGAAUGCCACGGUGAAUACGUUCCCGGGCCUUGUACACACCGCCCGUCACACCAUGGGAGUGGGUUGCAAAAGAAGUAGGUAGCUUAACCUUCGGGAGGGCGCUUACCACUUUGUGAUUCAUGACUGGGGUGAAGUCGUAACAAGGUAACCGUAGGGGAACCUGCGGUUGGAUCACCUCCUUACCUUAAAGAAGC
This 228-nucleotide ribosomal RNA is filed under the name Escherichia coli. Its description in RNAcentral is "partial 16S ribosomal RNA". It matches the Rfam family "Bacterial small subunit ribosomal RNA", at positions 1318 to 1533 of the family's 1533-position model. The record is from RNAcentral. Lineage: Bacteria; Pseudomonadati; Pseudomonadota; Gammaproteobacteria; Enterobacterales; Enterobacteriaceae.